This 468-nucleotide ribosomal RNA is filed under the name uncultured bacterium. Its description in RNAcentral is "partial 16S ribosomal RNA". It matches the Rfam family "Bacterial small subunit ribosomal RNA", at positions 28 to 507 of the family's 1533-position model. The record is from RNAcentral.
GACGAACGCUGGCGGCGUGCUUAACACAUGCAAGUCGAACGGAAAGGCCCUGCUUUUGUGGGGUGCUCGAGUGGCGAACGGGUGAGUAACACGUGAGUAACCUGCCCUUGACUUUGGGAUAACUUCAGGAAACUGGGGCUAAUACCGGAUAGGAGCUCCUGCUGCAUGGUGGGGGUUGGAAAGUUUCGGCGGUUGGGGAUGGACUCGCGGCUUAUCAGCUUGUUGGUGGGGUAGUGGCUUACCAAGGCUUUGACGGGUAGCCGGCCUGAGAGGGUGACCGGCCACAUUGGGACUGGGAGACGGCCCAGACUCCUACGGGAGGCAGCAGUGGGGAAUAUUGCACAAUGGGCGGAAGCCUGAUGCAGCAACGCCGCGUGCGGGAUGACGGCCUUCGGGUUGUAAACCGCUUUCGCCUGUGACGAAGCGUGAGUGACGGUAAUGGGUAAAGAAGCACCGGCUAACUACGUG